This 694-nucleotide ribosomal RNA is filed under the name uncultured Helvella. RNAcentral describes it as "eukaryotic LSU rRNA". The stretch from base 298 to 451 matches the Rfam family "5.8S ribosomal RNA". The record is from RNAcentral. Lineage: Eukaryota; Fungi; Ascomycota; Pezizomycetes; Pezizales; Helvellaceae.
UUAGAGGAAGUAAAAGUCGUAACAAGGUUUCCGUAGGUGAACCUGCGGAAGGAUCAUUACUAGAAGGACAGCUUCGAGCAAGCUGAAACAAGGCGUGGGGCCGCCAGGUAACCAAUCCGGCUCCCCAGCGCCAAGCGGCAAUGUCCAAACCACACCCUCUGCGUACCCAACCCUGUUGCUUCCCCGGGUCCCAACCCGGGGGAGGCCCGAGAGCAAACGAAGCGGCCCAACCCACCCGCGGCCCCUCCGUCUGAAGGCCAGCGCGCCACGGAAGAAGGAACGAGCGAGGAAACGAAAAACUUUCAACAACGGAUCUCUUGGUUCCCGCAUCGAUGAAGAACGCAGCGAAAUGCGAUAAGUAAUGUGAAUUGCAGAAUUCAGUGAAUCAUCGAAUCUUUGAACGCACAUUGCGCCCCCUGGCAUUCCGGGGGGCAUGCCUGUUCGAGCGUCUCAGGGACGAACCCUCGCGCGUGUGAAAAACGCGCGGUCAUGGCUGCGGUGGCGUGCCCGAGGAGGCGGCCACCGCGCUGGAAUCCAUGGGCGGACGCCUGCCGCGUGGCCGAGCGUGAUAUGACGCAUUGGCGCUGGUGCGAGGCGAGGCUGCCAGCCCUGGCCCGUCUGUCGGGCGGGGGAGACAGCAAGACACGUGAACUCCUCGAAUCAGGUAGGGAUACCCGCUGAACUUAAGCAUAUC